This 253-nucleotide ribosomal RNA is filed under the name uncultured bacterium. RNAcentral describes it as "partial 16S ribosomal RNA". It matches the Rfam family "Bacterial small subunit ribosomal RNA", at positions 524 to 776 of the family's 1533-position model. The record is from RNAcentral.
UACGUAGGGUGCAAGCGUUGUCCGGAAUUAUUGGGCGUAAAGAGCUCGUAGGCGGUCUGUCGCGUCUGCUGUGAAAACUCGGGGCUUAACCCCGGGCCUGCAGUGGGUACGGGCAGACUAGAGUGCGGUAGGGGAGACUGGAAUUCCUGGUGUAGCGGUGAAAUGCGCAGAUAUCAGGAGGAACACCGGUGGCGAAGGCGGGUCUCUGGGCCGUAACUGACGCUGAGGAGCGAAGGCCAGGGGAGCAAACGGG